AUUUUGACUGUACAAAGGUAGCAUAAUCAAUAGUCUCUUAAUUGGUGACUUGUAUGAAAGAUUGGAUGAGAUAUAUACUGUCUCUAAUUAAUUUAUUGAAAUUAAUUUUUUAGUAAAAAAGCUAAAAUAAUUUUAAAAGACGAGAAGACCCUAUAGAGUUUAAUAAUUUAUUUAAUUAUUAUUAAUAUAUAAUUUUUAAAAUUAAAAUUAAAUAAAUUAUUUUGUUGGGGUGAUAAAAAAAUUAAAUUAACUUUUUUUAAUUAUUAACAUUAAUUUAUGAAUAAAUGAUCCAUUUAUAGUGAUUAAAAGAAAAAAUUACCUUAGGGAUAACAGCGUAAUUUUUUUUUUUAGUUCAAAUAGGAAAAAAAGUUUGCGACCUCGAUGUU
RNAcentral lists this ribosomal RNA (386 nucleotides) under Papilio fuscus motomurai. RNAcentral describes it as "partial 16S ribosomal RNA". The record is from RNAcentral. Lineage: Eukaryota; Metazoa; Arthropoda; Insecta; Lepidoptera; Papilionidae.